GAGUUUGAUCAUGGCUCAGGACGAACGCUGGCGGCGUGCUUAACACAUGCAAGUCGAACGAUGAAGCCCAGCUUGCUGGGUGGAAGAGUGGCGAACGGGUGAGUAACACGUGAGUAACCUGCCUAUCACUCUGGGAUAAGCGCUGGAAACGGCGUCUAAUACUGGAUACGACCUACCAUCGCAUGGUGUGUGGGUGGAAAGAUUUAUCGGUGGUAGAUGGACUCGCGGCCUAUCAGCUUGUUGGUGAGGUAAUGGCCCACCAAGGCGACGACGGGUAGCCGGCCUGGGAGGGUGAUCGGCCACACUGGGACUGAGACACGGCCCAGACUCCUACGGGAGGCAGCAGUGGGGAAUAUUGCACAAUGGGCGCAAGCCUGAUGCAGCAACGCCGCGUGAGGGACGAAGGCCUUCGGGUUGUAAACCUCUUUUAGUAGGGAAGAAGCGAAAGUGACUGUACCUGCAGAAAAAGCACCGGCUAACUACGUGCCAGCAGCCGCGGUAAUACGUAGGGUGCAAGCGUUGUCCGGAAUUAUUGUGCGUAAAGAGCUCGUAGGCGGCUUGUCGCGUCUGCUGUGAAAACCCGAGGCUCAACCU
RNAcentral lists this ribosomal RNA (594 nucleotides) under uncultured bacterium. Its description in RNAcentral is "bacterial SSU rRNA". It matches the Rfam family "Bacterial small subunit ribosomal RNA", at positions 9 to 615 of the family's 1533-position model. The record is from RNAcentral.